CCAACAGGGAUUGCCUCAGUAACGGCGAGUGAAGCGGCAACAGCUCAAAUUUGAAAGCUGGCUCUUGCAGAGCCCGCGUUGUAAUUUGUAGAGGAUGCUUCGGGUGCGGCGCUGGUCUAAGUUCUUUGGAACAAGACGUCAUAGAGGGUGAGAAUCCCGUAUGUGACUAGCUGCCUGUGCCUGUGUGAAGCUCCUUCGACGAGUCGAGUUGUUUGGGAAUGCAGCUCAAAAUGGGUGGUGUACUUCAUCUAAAGCUAAAUAUUGGCCAGAGACCGAUAGCGCACAAGUAGAGUGAUCGAAAGAUGAAAAGCACUUUGGAAAGAGAGUUAAACAGUACGUGAAAUUGUUGAAAGGGAAGCGCUUGCAAUCAGACUUGCGCGGCGUCGAUCAACCUGGGUUCUCCCUGGUGCACUCGGCGCUGCUCAGGCCAGCAUCAGUUUCAGCGGUUGGAUAAAGGCCUAGGGAACGUGGGUUACUUCGGUGACUGUUAUAGCCCUAGGUGCAAUGCAGCCUGCUGGGACUGAGGACCGCGCUUCGGCUAGGAUGCUGGCGUAAUGGUUGUAAGCGACCCGUCUUGAAACACGGACCAAGGAGUGUAAUAUUUAUGCGAGUUUUUGGGUGUUAAACCCAUAAGCGUAAUGAAAGUGAACGGAGGUGAGAACCCUUAAGGGUGCAUCAUCGACCGAUCCUGAUGUCUUCGGAUGGAUUUGAGUAAGAGCAUAACUAUUGCGACCCGAAAGAUGAUGAUCUAUACUUGAAUAGGGUGAAGCCAGAGGAAACUCUGGUGGAGGCUCGCAGCGGUUCUGACGUGCAAAUCGAUCGUCAAAUUUGGGUAUAGGGGCGAAAGACUAAUCGAA
RNAcentral lists this ribosomal RNA (857 nucleotides) under Spathulariopsis velutipes. RNAcentral's name for it is "eukaryotic LSU rRNA". It matches the Rfam family "Eukaryotic large subunit ribosomal RNA", at positions 65 to 939 of the family's 3401-position model. Lineage: Eukaryota; Fungi; Ascomycota; Leotiomycetes; Rhytismatales; Cudoniaceae. The record is from RNAcentral.